This 273-nucleotide unclassified non-coding RNA is filed under the name Hevea brasiliensis (rubber tree). Lineage: Eukaryota; Viridiplantae; Streptophyta; Magnoliopsida; Malpighiales; Euphorbiaceae. The record is from RNAcentral.
AGAAAAGUUGGAGAGAAUCUCGUGGAGAAUAGAAAAAAGCAGAUGGAGGCUGGUCAGGAGUUUGCCAAGCUAAGUCCAAAGAAAGGGAUUCUCAGCACUGAGGUUGAUUGCCUGUUUUAUGAGAUAUGGAGCUCCGUUAUGUGUAUUUCAGGCUUAGCUUAAUAGUUAUUAGUAGAAAUGCAGAUACAGCAUGUUAUUGUACCUCCAAAGCAGCAAAGCUUCUGCACCACAGUCCACACACUUAAUGUUUUUUUUUAAUGAAUAAAACAGAAC